UGUGGCUUAGUAGGUAGAGCACUUGCCUAGCAUGCAUGAAGUCCUGGGUUUAAUCCCCAGCA
This 62-nucleotide transfer RNA is filed under the name Rattus norvegicus (Norway rat). It matches the Rfam family "tRNA", at positions 6 to 65 of the family's 71-position model. From Rfam's summary of the family: Transfer RNA (tRNA) molecules are approximately 80 nucleotides in length. Lineage: Eukaryota; Metazoa; Chordata; Mammalia; Rodentia; Muridae. The record is from Rfam by way of RNAcentral.